RNAcentral lists this ribosomal RNA (931 nucleotides) under uncultured Pelagibacterales bacterium. RNAcentral's name for it is "bacterial SSU rRNA". It matches the Rfam family "Bacterial small subunit ribosomal RNA", at positions 508 to 1441 of the family's 1533-position model. The record is from RNAcentral. Lineage: Bacteria; Pseudomonadati; Pseudomonadota; Alphaproteobacteria; Candidatus Pelagibacterales.
CCAGCAGCCGCGGUAAUACGAAGGGACCUAGCGUAGUUCGGAUUUACUGGGCUAAAAGAGCUCGUAGGUGUUUAGAAAAGUUGGUGGUGAAAUCCCAAGGCUUAACCUUGGAACUGCCACCAAAACUUUUUGACUAGAGUAUGAUAGAGGUAAGUGGAAUUUCUAGUGUAGAGGUGAAAUUCGUAGAUAUUAGAAAGAACACCAAUUGCGAAGGCAACUUUCUGGAUCAUUACUGACACUGAGGAGCGAAAGCAUGGGUAGCGAAGAGGAUUAGAUACCCUCGUAGUCCAUGCUGUAAACGAUGUGUGCUAGACGUUGGAAAUUUAUUUUUCAGUGUCGCAGCAAAAGCAUUAAGCACACCGCCUGGGGAGUACGACCGCAAGGUUAAAACUCAAAUGAAUUGACGGGGACCCGCACAAGCAGUGGAGCAUGUGGUUUAAUUCGAAGAUACGCGCAGAACCUUACCAACACUUGACAUGUUCGUCGCGAACUCAAGAGAUUGAGUUUUCAUUUAGUUGGACGAAACACAGGUGCUGCAUGGCUGUCGUCAGCUCGUGUCGUGAGAUGUUGGGUUAAGUCCCGCAACGAGCGCAACCCUUACUUUUAGUUGCCACCAUUUAGUUGAGCACUCUAAAAGAACUGCCAGUGAUAAGCUGGAGGAAGGCGGGGAUGACGUCAAGUCCUCAUGGCCCUUACGUGUUGGGCUACACACGUGCUACAAUGGCAUUCACAAUGAGAUGCAAAGAGGCGACUCCAAGCCAAUCUCAAAAAGAUGCCUCAGUUCGGAUUGUACUCUGCAACUCGAGUACAUGAAGCUGGAAUUGCUAGUAAUCGCGGAUCAGCGCGCCGCGGUGAAUACGUUCCCGGGUCUUGUACACACCGCCCGUCACACCAUGGAAGUUGGUUACACCUAAAGGCAAAAGUUAAAACU